RNAcentral lists this unclassified non-coding RNA (1300 nucleotides) under Bombus terrestris (buff-tailed bumblebee). Its description in RNAcentral is "misc RNA ENSBTSG00005024300.1". The record is from RNAcentral. Lineage: Eukaryota; Metazoa; Arthropoda; Insecta; Hymenoptera; Apidae.
ACUUCUGACGCACCUGGCUGAACCGUAAAUUACACCGGCAAGUUCUCUAUCCGCCGCGACCAUGAUUACGGUAUACGCAACUUUGCAAUUUCUGGCCGGAACACCGGUGUCCGGAUAUCGGUGGAAAUUAGACAGUCCGUUUGGCGCGAGCCUCUCGGCUGAAAAGCCGAUCGACGCAAUCGGAUUCUAGUUCUUUCGCGUAAUCGUGACUCGACUGGUAAUCGCUGGAUUUUCUGUUCCCUGCGGACCGUUCGAAUCGCAGUUAACAGACACUCGGCGUAAUGGACUUCACGAGACCAGCGCUUCAUCAAUUUCGCGAUUCCCCGCCACGGCCAACGAGCGGUUUAAUUACCAUUCUCAAUCAAUCACAAGCCGAUUCAAAAUUCACGGAUCUGGGCAAUCUGAGUCGUUGCACGAGCGAGGGGAACAGGCCAUCAAUUUUCUCGAGCAAGAGACGCCAAAUAGAAUUACUUACACGGCGGACCAUUAAUCGGAUGCGAGGUCGCGUAAUCUGUUAGGCGUUCGGUGUGACACUCGCAGGUAGGAAAGAAGCACAUGGGGUUGCGUGUGUGCGUGUGUGUAAGAGAGAGAGAAGGGUGACGAACGACGGCUGCCAGGGUGAAAUGAAAACGGACGAUAUAAGAAGAAAGAAUCGUACACGAGCGAAACACCGCGUACGUGGGCGUCCGUACGAAGUACAGCGGAGUCGGGGGGUGCUCCUCUAGCUCGAUCAAUACACACUACCAGCAACCCCUCUGCGUCCCACGCCGUCCCUCGUCCAUUUCGUUCACCCCUGACACCCUAUCCUCCCUAUUCCAUUUCGAACGACCCCUACUAUCGUCGGUUUAGAUGCUCGAGACCGCUGUCGUUUAGCUCUACAAGUCUUAUCGCGCGAGCGCCUUCUCGCUUUUUUCGCGCCACUCGCGAGAGGAAAAACCGAUUAGCGUGCACGCGUUUUUUUUUCCUGGCUUUUCACGGCACAGAUCGUUCAACCGGGCUUUGUUAUCGCGCUCGCGGGUUGCCGUACUUCAUUGGGGUUAGACGAGCUGUUUUGAUUUCGUUUUAGAAUCACAAGGGUGGAAUUCCGAUCGGGAUCAUUCGACUGGGAACGAGGCGGAAUGUUUGGUCUCGAUUUCAGUUUAGGCAGAUUGUUGAAAAUGUUUGAUAGAGUUGGGAGAGUCUUUCGACACUGGAUGAGGGUAAAUGAGAGUUAGGUAUCGAUUAUAUCGACGGAGAGUAAAACACUGUGAUCGUGACGCGUAAUUGAUGUUGAGCCGUUCCACGUUAAGUGUUGCGGCAU